UUUUUUUUUUUUUUCUGGCCUUAUAAUCCAAGAAUAGGAUUAAUCUUACCUCAUCUUAAGAGACUUCCGGACAGUUGCAGCUGUCUACGAGAUUUCUGCCUCGAAGGGCUUUGGGUGUUGCCACUGUUUGGCUCAUUCCACUCCCCCUGGGUCGUAGUGACUUUCAGGGAGCCUAGAAGAGCUGGACAAAACCUGCUUCUUUGCAAAAAGAGUCAGGGUUCCAAAUAUUUUGUUACAAUUUUUUAAAGAUCACUCUCUCAAAGUUCUUUCUCUCCCAUAUCACAGACCUGGAGGCCCUUUCUUAGCCCCAUUGUGACCUUUGGGGAAUGUUAAUGCAUUUCUAGCUCAUGGAAACCCCGGAAGCCAGUGUCGUGUGACAUGAGCCCAGCCGGAUUAGAAUGAUUUCAAAUCUUUUUAGGAUUAAAGAACAAUGGCCUUGUCAGAAAUGUCAGGAUAAUUAGAAAAAACAGUGCUGCUUUCCCUAAUCAGGAUGAGGUUCUGGGGGCUGUAAAGGCAUCAGCCAGGAAGCAGCUCCAUUUUCUCUAAAACAUGAGGCCCUGGAAGACCUACAGGGUCAAGACUCUCGCCCCUGAUACUCCACCUUGGCCAGAAGUGGGAGUCCUCAGUUUAUCGUCUGCCAAUUAUACCUCAAUAAAGCUUUUUUAAAAAAUGUUUUAAGUCAGGACUAUGAGGGGAACCUGGUUAUCUCUGGCUAAAGGGAUAAGGAGUUUAAUAAAAGUCACAGAACUAAAGCCAUGAAAGCCUCAGUGGUCCUCUGACCCUACUCCUCUCUGUGAGAAGCCAGAGAAGAGACUUGCUAAGAUUACUUAGUGAUGGGGGAGGCUGGGACUCAAAUUCAGAUUUUCCUCUCUUGCCUUCCUGAUCUCUUUUCAAUGACAAUGAGGUCUAAGGAAAAUAGCCACCACACUGAAAGCCAUGCUGCCCUCUCUCGGGUUCGCAUGUUUUCCAAACCGGGAGACAUUAUGAAGCACUGCACUGGGUUCAGGGUAACUAAAAGGACCAUCUUACAUUUAUGAAGUGUCUGUCACUUGUUAUGGCACUUUCAUAUUUGUUAUCUUAUAUAAUCUUUCUAAGAACCAGGAUGGAAAGGUAGUAUCAAAAUCUCAAUGACUGAUGAGGAAACCAAGGCACAAAAAGGUUAAUUUGAUUUUCCCUGGUCCAGGUGGCUAACAGCGGAGCUGGAACCGCAACACUGUUUGCCCAACCCUAGUCCCCAGACCUUCCCCUGCUCCUUUGGGUGUCAUAUCUAUUGCCCGAAUUCCAAGCUCCCUUUUGAGAAAGCCCCCACUGGUGGUCAUGUGGAGGUUGAAUCGUAUCCCAUCUGGCCUAUGUCUUAGUAUCCAGGGCCCAGGAUCUGUGUGCAGGGCUGAGGGGCUAUGGAUCCUCUCUAGGAGUCUCAGCUUUGACACCGAGUCAUGUUUUGAAAGUACAUAUAUAGUAAUAAAGGUAACCAUUUUUGAGUACUUACUGUGUGUCAGGCACAGAGCUAGACCCCUCCCAUGCAUUUGCUCAUUUAGUCCUCACAAUAACUCAGUGGGGUAGGUACCGUUUUUAUUCCCAUUUUACAUCAGCAGCUCUCUGAUGCUCAGAACACCCAAGAACCUGUCCACAUUUCCCAGCUGUGGAGCAGCAGAGCCUGCAAUAAACACAGAUCGGAAAGCCCCCCUUGCUUUAUGCAAGUGCUGGUUAAUGUCCUACUGUUAAUAGGACUGUUACUAGCACCACAUUUCACAGUGCAGGAGGGAAGAGCGUUGACUAAUGAGGCUUUCUCAGGAAUUCCAUGUCAGGUAAGCUUUCGUUUGUUAAGCAUUCACAGGAUGCAGAGCCCUCUCCAGGCUCUGAGAUCUGAGCUGCCCCCAAGUCAGAAGCAGAGGCCCAGUGUCCUUUGAAAUCCUGAUUCUACUCAGCUCCUUUUUUCUGAGCUCCAGGAUGUGAAAAUGAUACAUGUGGGAAUAGUGGGCUCCACUAUAUUCAGGCUUGUGUUCUCUUUAUGGGUGGGCAAUGUGUGGGCAUGAGGCCAGGAGGGAAUGAUGCCAAAGAAAACUGAGGUUCUUAUAU
This is a long non-coding RNA of Macaca fascicularis (crab-eating macaque), 2079 nucleotides long. Lineage: Eukaryota; Metazoa; Chordata; Mammalia; Primates; Cercopithecidae. The record is from Ensembl.